This 411-nucleotide ribosomal RNA is filed under the name Pseudoalteromonas marina. RNAcentral describes it as "bacterial SSU rRNA". It matches the Rfam family "Bacterial small subunit ribosomal RNA", at positions 78 to 491 of the family's 1533-position model. The record is from RNAcentral. Lineage: Bacteria; Pseudomonadati; Pseudomonadota; Gammaproteobacteria; Alteromonadales; Pseudoalteromonadaceae.
UGCUACUUUGCUGACGAGCGGCGGACGGGUGAGUAAUGCUUGGGAACAUGCCUUGAGGUGGGGGACAACAGUUGGAAACGACUGCUAAUACCGCAUAAUGUCUACGGACCAAAGGGGGCUUCGGCUCUCGCCUUUAGAUUGGCCCAAGUGGGAUUAGCUAGUUGGUGAGGUAAUGGCUCACCAAGGCAACGAUCCCUAGCUGGUUUGAGAGGAUGAUCAGCCACACUGGAACUGAGACACGGUCCAGACUCCUACGGGAGGCAGCAGUGGGGAAUAUUGCACAAUGGGCGAAAGCCUGAUGCAGCCAUGCCGCGUGUGUGAAGAAGGCCUUCGGGUUGUAAAGCACUUUCAGUCAGGAGGAAAGGGUGUGAGUUAAUACCUCACAUCUGUGACGUUACUGACAGAAGAAGC